Molecule: ribosomal RNA, 197 nt
Filed under: Trypanosoma noyesi
Lineage: Eukaryota; Euglenozoa; Kinetoplastea; Trypanosomatida; Trypanosomatidae
Description: partial small subunit ribosomal RNA
Rfam family: Eukaryotic small subunit ribosomal RNA
Source: RNAcentral
UAGCCUGAGAAAUAGCUACCACUUCUACGGAGGGCAGCAGGCGCGCAAAUUGCCCAAUGUCAAAAAAAAACGAUGAGGCAGCGAAAAGAAAUAGAGCCGACAGCGCAUUUUGUAUUGUCGUUUUCAAUGGGGGAUAUUUAAACCCAUCCAAAAUCGAGUAACAAUUGGAGGACAAGUCUGGCGCCAGCACCCGCGGU